Long non-coding RNA from Marmota monax (woodchuck), 436 nucleotides. RefSeq lists it as uncharacterized. The record is from RefSeq and is a predicted model, not a curated record. The transcript has 4 exons. NCBI's taxonomy places the organism in Eukaryota, Metazoa, Chordata, Mammalia, Rodentia, Sciuridae.
CUUGGGCUUGGAUUCAGCUCCACAUCACACAGAGAAAACCAAACAUUCAAAAUGGCAGAAGGAUUGAAUGGGAUGGUGAGUGAUGGGAAGCUGAAGACUCACUGCUUAUUCCUCCACACAGGGAAGAAAAUGCCCAUAUCACCAACCAGCAGAAAGUGUGGAUUUAUACUGCAGUAGGAAGAACAAACACUACUUUUUAUGUCAAAUCUCCAACUACUGUAAAACUAGAAUGUGAGUUCUUUGAAGGAAGAUGUUUCUGUCUUGUUCAAUGCUCUCUCCGCCAGCACCUGGGACAGUGCCGCACAUGCAGUAUAUGGUGUUUUGUUAAGGAAGUCAUUUCCUAAGCUGACAUGGUGAAGAUUUGGGCCUCCUUUUGCUUCUAUUAAGCACAGGUUCUCUGUUCUAGUCUUUGAUCCACUUUGAGUUUUAUGCAAGG